RNAcentral lists this long non-coding RNA (674 nucleotides) under Mus musculus (house mouse). RNAcentral's name for it is "predicted gene, 50250". Lineage: Eukaryota; Metazoa; Chordata; Mammalia; Rodentia; Muridae. The record is from RNAcentral.
AGUUUUCCACUAGCAGCCUUUGGAUGAAGACAUGGAACUCUCAGCUCUGCCUGUGCCAUGCCUGCCUGGAUACUGCCAUGCUCUUACCUUGAUGAUAAUGGACUGAACCUCUGAGACUAGGGAACACCACCACCCAAGGUAUGGGAGACAGCCCAGAGGGAACACUGACAGACAGAAGGCUGUGUCCAUCUGUCUUUGUGUCCCUCCAAAGAUCCACUCUGAGGACUGCCUACCUUCAAGCAGAGAACCAAAGCCACCAGCAACCCCCAACCCCCCACCCCCACCCACCCCCGGUCAACAAUGGGGAAUGCUUUAUCCAAAAGGCAAACGCUGCGAAAGAGAAGUAGAACUAUCUAGCAAGAAAUGACAGAUGGGUCUAGACACAUAAGGUAAAGGACAGACUCGGCUCUGGUGACUCUCUGAAUAUUCAUAGAAUCUAUAAAAGUCCAAUUCUUUCAGAACGCAGUCUGUUAGGAAUGAAUAUGCAACUGUACCAAAUAAAAACACUGGAUUUCUCCAAAAGUACACAAGGAGGGAAUUUUCCCACCUCCAAGUGCUGUCACACAUCGCUGCUGGAUAAAGGAUUAUCUGAAGUUCAUAUUGACUUGUGAUUUAUACUCUCUAACUCAGGGCUCAAGGAUUUCUCCCCUCCCUUCAAAUGGAUUCCCUCUCGA